ACAUUUCUUUAAGAUUUAUAUUUAAGGUAGUUCCUGCUCAAUGAUUAUUUAAAUAGCUGCAGUAAUUUGACUGUACAAAGGUAGCAUAAUAAUUAGUCUUUUAAUUGAGGACUAGAAUGAAUGGAUUUAUGAAAUAUAUAUUUUAUUUAUUUUAUUAUUAAAAUUUAAUUUCUUAGUAAAAAAGCUUAGUUGUUUUUUUGGGACGAAAAGACCCUAUAGAACUUUUUAUUAUUUUAUAUAUUUUAGAAUAAAAUUAUUAUAAAUAAAUAUUUUGUUGGGGUGACAAAUAAAUUUAUACUUUAUUUUUUUUUAUCAUUGAUUUAUGUUAUAAAGAUCCUUAUUUUAAAUUAAAAGUUUAAGUUACCUUAGGGAUAACAGCGUAAUUUUAAUGGAAAGUUCUUAUUUAUAUUAAAGUUUGCGACCUCGAUGUUGAAUUAAAAUAAAUAUAAGGGGUAGGUUCUUUAUUAUUUAAGUCUGUUCGACUUUUAAAUUCUUACUUGAUCUG
RNAcentral lists this ribosomal RNA (505 nucleotides) under Bundera emeiana. RNAcentral's name for it is "partial 16S ribosomal RNA". The record is from RNAcentral. Lineage: Eukaryota; Metazoa; Arthropoda; Insecta; Hemiptera; Cicadellidae.